RNAcentral lists this ribosomal RNA (1801 nucleotides) under Salmonella enterica. RNAcentral's name for it is "partial 23S ribosomal RNA". It matches the Rfam family "Bacterial large subunit ribosomal RNA", at positions 830 to 2527 of the family's 2925-position model. The record is from RNAcentral. Lineage: Bacteria; Pseudomonadati; Pseudomonadota; Gammaproteobacteria; Enterobacterales; Enterobacteriaceae.
CAAUCAAACCGGGAGAUAGCUGGUUCUCCCCGAAAGCUAUUUAGGUAGCGCCUCGUGAAUUCAUCUCCGGGGGUAGAGCACUGUUUCGGCUAGGGGGCCAUCCCGGCUUACCAACCCGAUGCAAACUGCGAAUACCGGAGAAUGUUAUCACGGGAGACACACGGCGGGUGCUAACGUCCGUCGUGAAGAGGGAAACAACCCAGACCGCCAGCUAAGGUCCCAAAGUCAUGGUUAAGUGGGAAACGAUGUGGGAAGGCCCAGACAGCCAGGAUGUUGGCUUAGAAGCAGCCAUCAUUUAAAGAAAGCGUAAUAGCUCACUGGUCGAGUCGGCCUGCGCGGAAGAUGUAACGGGGCUAAACCAUGCACCGAAGCUGCGGCAGCGAACGUAUCACCCAAGACAACUUUACGGAGUUGACGAUUGACGGAGCGAAGCGACGUCAAAGCGUUCAUUAAAGUCGAGUUGGCUUAGGGAUACGUUCGUUGGGUAGGGGAGCGUUCUGUAAGCCUGUGAAGGUGUGUCGUGAGGCAUGCUGGAGGUAUCAGAAGUGCGAAUGCUGACAUAAGUAACGAUAAAGCGGGUGAAAAGCCCGCUCGCCGGAAGACCAAGGGUUCCUGUCCAACGUUAAUCGGGGCAGGGUGAGUCGACCCCUAAGGCGAGGCCGAAAGGCGUAGUCGAUGGGAAACGGGUUAAUAUUCCCGUACUUGGUGUUACUGCGAAGGGGGGACGGAGAAGGCUAUGUUGGCCGGGCGACGGUUGUCCCGGUUUAAGCGUGUAGGUGUGUGUUCCAGGUAAAUCCGGUUCACUUUAACACUGAGGCGUGACGACGAGGCACUACGGUGCUGAAGCAACAAAUGCCCUGCUUCCAGGAAAAGCCUCUAAGCAUCAGGUAACAUCAAAUCGUACCCCAAACCGACACAGGUGGUCAGGUAGAGAAUACCAAGGCGCUUGAGAGAACUCGGGUGAAGGAACUAGGCAAAAUGGUGCCGUAACUUCGGGAGAAGGCACGCUGACACGUAGGUGAAGUGAUUUACUCAUGGAGCUGAAGUCAGUCGAAGAUACCAGCUGGCUGCAACUGUUUAUUAAAAACACAGCACUGUGCAAACACGAAAGUGGACGUAUACGGUGUGACGCCUGCCCGGUGCCGGAAGGUUAAUUGAUGGGGUCAGCGCAAGCGAAGCUCCUGAUCGAAGCCCCGGUAAACGGCGGCCGUAACUAUAACGGUCCUAAGGUAGCGAAAUUCCUUGUCGGGUAAGUUCCGACCUGCACGAAUGGCGUAAUGAUGGCCAGGCUGUCUCCACCCGAGACUCAGUGAAAUUGAACUCGCUGUGAAGAUGCAGUGUACCCGCGGCAAGACGGAAAGACCCCGUGAACCUUUACUAUAGCUUGACACUGAACAUUGAGCCUUGAUGUGUAGGAUAGGUGGGAGGCUUUGAAGUGUGGACGCCAGUCUGCAUGGAGCCGACCUUGAAAUACCACCCUUUAAUGUUUGAUGUUCUAACGUGGACCCGUAAUCCGGGUUGCGGACAGUGUCUGGUGGGUAGUUUGACUGGGGCGGUCUCCUCCUAAAGAGUAACGGAGGAGCACGAAGGUUGGCUAAUCCUGGUCGGACAUCAGGAGGUUAGUGCAAUGGCAUAAGCCAGCUUGACUGCGAGCGUGACGGCGCGAGCAGGUGCGAAAGCAGGUCAUAGUGAUCCGGUGGUUCUGAAUGGAAGGGCCAUCGCUCAACGGAUAAAAGGUACUCCGGGGAUAACAGGCUGAUACCGCCCAAGAGUUCAUAUCGACGGCGGUGUUUGGCACCUC